Schistocerca nitens (vagrant locust) is the source of this 1472-nucleotide RNA transcript. It is a transcript of the gene named alpha-ketoglutarate-dependent dioxygenase alkB homolog 4, with no coding region annotated. The record is from RefSeq and is a predicted model, not a curated record. The transcript is spliced from 5 exons. Lineage: Eukaryota; Metazoa; Arthropoda; Insecta; Orthoptera; Acrididae.
CAGCAAACAGCUGGAUUAUAGCGAUGAAGCGAUCUGUGAGUGGCAGUGGGACAAUUAGAGACGGAAGGAAUCUUGGAAUGUGAUCGUGUUCCCAACAAAUGUUACUGAUGUAUUAUGCUUCGUAGUUUUGCUCACGUGGAAUACGUAACCAAUGGAAAAACCUAGGCCAUGUGGUUGUAAAGGGAUCAGAACUUGCUUAAUAUGUGAGAGAGAAUUUGGAAUUCCUAAGAAGGAUUUAAAACCCCCCAAGGGCUGCAAAAGCUACAUAUACUGUGCUUUCUGUAACAAAGCAUGGGAAGGCUCAUGUAUGAAAGACUACAAAACUCAUUCAGCCCAUGAAGGAGAUGCUAUUGAAUUCCCAGGAAUAUAUAUACAGCUUGAUUUCUUGACACCAGAAGAAGAAGCAAUCUUAAUUAAUGGCAUUGAUGAAAUGCCAUGGGAUUUAUCUCAGAGUGGCCGUAGAAAGCAGAAUUUUGGACCAAAGUGUAAUUUUAAGAAGAAGCGUCUGCAGUUGAGCGAGUUUAAUGGUUUCCCGGAAUUCACAAAGUUUGUGCAAGAGCGUUUUGAAACUGUACCAUUAUUAUCAGGGUAUAAAACCAUUGAACAGUGCUCCUUGGAAUAUGAUCCAAUACGUGGUGCAUCAAUUGAUCCUCAUAUUGAUGACUGCUGGAUAUGGGGUGAGCGUAUUGUUACUGUUAAUCUUCUGUCAGACAGUAUGUUGACAUUUACAAAAUACAGAGGGGAUAUUAAGCGAUAUAAUUUGUGCUGCGCAUUUGAGUAUCGUCCAGUUGUCCUUGGUCCUCUAGACUGUUGUGAACAAGAAGAUUGUGUAGUUCGUGUACCCAUGCCAAAGCGCUCUCUGUUGGUGAUUUAUGGUCCAGCACGGUAUGGUUGGGAACACUGUGUUUUACGUGAAGACAUUUCAGAAAGAAGGGUGUGUAUUGCUUAUCGGGAGUUCACUCCACCAUAUCUUAAAGGUGGGCAACAUGAAGAGAAGGGAAGUGAAAUUUUGAAUGCUGCCAACAAUUUCUGGGACCAUAGGAUAAUGUCACAGGAAUCAUGAUCAUGGGCACAGAAGCUCUUACAUUUUACCUCCAAGAAGAGAGAAAAUUUAUACACAGAAAAAUGGAAAUGGGCCUAUCUUAAGGUGAUUCUGGAAUGAUUUACUGGCCUGAAAUAUGCAUCACUGAAGUGCUUCACAACAUUGUUUUGUGGGGCAGUAAUAUGGUGUUUUAUUUUUAAUCCUGUCAGCAUUGUAUCACGGCUUUCAACUACCUCACUAGAGGAUAAAAUCACUGCUGGAAUUAGGAACGUGGCACAGAAACAGAAAGGAAGAGAAAAAGUUCUGCAUGACAACUCUCACUCUGUGGACAUCAAACCAAAUAGCUAUUAGCAUAGAUUCCUGGAGAACUUCAGAAUUUAAAAAUUUGCAUGACAAUGCUACUUUUAAUUAAGUCUACACUUAUCUACUA